This 490-nucleotide ribosomal RNA is filed under the name uncultured bacterium. RNAcentral's name for it is "partial 16S ribosomal RNA". It matches the Rfam family "Bacterial small subunit ribosomal RNA", at positions 30 to 507 of the family's 1533-position model. The record is from RNAcentral.
AUUGAACGCUGGCGGCAGGCCUAACACAUGCAAGUCGAACGGUAACAGGAAACAGCUUGCUGUUUCGCUGACGAGUGGCGGACGGAUGAGUAAUGUCUGGGAAACUGCCUGAUGGAGGGGGAUAACUACUGGAAACGGUAGCUAAUACCGCAUAACGUCGCAAGACCAAAGAGGGGGACCUUCGGGCCUCUUGCCAUCGGAUGUGCCCAGAUGGGAUUAGCUAGUAGGUGGGGUAACGGCUCACCUAGGCGACGAUCCCUAGCUGGUCUGAGAGGAUGACCAGCCACACUGGAACUGAGACACGGUCCAGACUCCUACGGGAGGCAGCAGUGGGGAAUAUUGUACAAUGGGCGCAAGCCUGAUGCAGCCAUGCCGCGUGUAUGAAGAAGGCCUUCGGGUUGUAAAGUACUUUCAGCGGGGAUGAAGGGAGUAAAGUUAAUACCUUUGCUCAUUGACGUUACCCGCAGAAGAAGCACCGGCUAACUCCGUG